This 256-nucleotide ribosomal RNA is filed under the name uncultured bacterium. RNAcentral's name for it is "partial 16S ribosomal RNA". It matches the Rfam family "Bacterial small subunit ribosomal RNA", at positions 333 to 585 of the family's 1533-position model. The record is from RNAcentral.
UAGUCCCUACGGGGGGCAGCAGUGAGGAAUAUUGGUCAAUGGGCGCAAGCCUGAACCAGCCAAGUCGCGUGAGGGAUGACGGUCCUAUGGAUUGUAAACCUCUUUUGUCGGGGAGCAAGGCCCGCCACGUGUGGCGGGAAGGAGAGUACCCGAAGAAAAAGCAUCGGCUAACUCCGUGCCAGCAGCCGCGGUAAUAAGGAGGAUGCGAGCGUUAUCCGGAUUUAUUGGGGUUAAAGGGGGCGGAGGCGGAAGGGUA